AGUGAACGCUGGCGGUAGGCCUAACACAUGCAAGUCGAGCGGCAGCACAGUAAGAGCUUGCUCUUACGGGUGGCGAGUGGCGGACGGGUGAGGAAUACAUCGGAAUCUACUUUUUCGUGGGGGAUAACGUAGGGAAACUUACGCUAAUACCGCAUACGACCUCCGGUGGAAAGCAGGGUAUCUUCGUACCUUGCGCGAUUGAAUGAGCCGAGGUCGGAUUAGCUAGUUGGCGGGGUAAAGGCCCACCAAGGCGACGAUCCGUAGCUGGUCUGAGAGGAUGAUCAGCCACACUGGAACUGAGACACGGUCCAGACUCCUACGGGAGGCAGCAGUGGGGAAUAUUGGACAAUGGGCGCAAGCCUGAUCCAGCCAUACCGCGUGGGUGAAGAAGGCCUUCGGGUUGUAAAGCCCUUUUGUUGGGAAAGAAAAGCAGCAGGUUAAUACCCCGCUGUUCUGACGGUACCCAAAGAAUAAGCACCGGCUAACUUCGUG
This 492-nucleotide ribosomal RNA is filed under the name uncultured bacterium. RNAcentral describes it as "partial 16S ribosomal RNA". It matches the Rfam family "Bacterial small subunit ribosomal RNA", at positions 29 to 507 of the family's 1533-position model. The record is from RNAcentral.